ACCCUACCAUGCCCACUGACAGGACUAGUCCUGGUUAAGGUAACACACCCAGCCAUGCCAACUGAGAGGACUAGUCCUGGUUAAGGUAACACACCCUACCAUGCCCACUGACAGGACUAGUCCUGGUUAAGGUAACACACCCAGCCAUGCCAACUGAGAGGACUAGUCCUGGUUAAGGUAACACACCCUACCAUGCCCACUGACAGGACUAGUCCUGGUUAAGGUAACACACCCAGCCAUGCCAACUGAGAGGACUAGUCCUGGUAACACACCCAGCCAUGCCAACUGAGAGGACUAGUCCUGGUUAAGGUAACCGUGCCAACUGAGAGGACUGGUCCUGGUUAAGGUAACCAUGCCAACUGAGAGGACUAGUCCUGGUUAAGGUAACACACCCAGCCAUGCCAACUGAGAGGACUAGUCCUGGUUAAGGUAACACACCCAGCCAUGCCAACUGAGAGGACUAGUCCUGGUUAAGGUAACACACCCAGCCAUGCCAACUGAGAGGACUAGUCCUGGUUAAGGUAACACACCCAGCCAUGCCAACUGAGAGGACUAGUCCUGGUUAAGGUAACACACCCAGCCAUGCCAACUGAGAGGACUAGUCCUGGUUAAGGUAACACACCCAGCCAUGCCAACUGAGAGGACUAGUCCUGGUUAAGGUAACACACCCAGCCAUGCCAACUGAGAGGACUAGUCCUGGUUAAGGUAACACACCCAGCCAUGCCAACUGAGAGGACUAGUCCUGGUUAAGGUAACACACCCAGCCAUGCCAACUGAGAGGACUAGUCCUGGUUAAGGUAACACACCCAGCCAUGCCAACUGAGAGGACUAGUCCUGGUAACACACCCAGCCAUGCCAACUGAGAGGACUAGUCCUGGUAACACACCCAGCGAUGCCAACUGAGAGGACUAGUCCUGGUUAAGGUAACACACCCUACCAUGCCCACUGAGAGGACUAGUCCUGGUUAAGGUAACACACCCAGCCAUGCCCACUGAGAGGACUAGUCCUGGUAACACACCCAGCCAUGCCAACUGAGAGGACUAGUCCUGGUUAAGGUAACACACCCAGCCAUGCCAACUGAGAGGACUAGUCCUGGUAACACACCCAGCCAUGCCAACUGAGAGGACUGGUCCUGGUAACACACCCUACCAUGCCAACUGAGAGGACUAGUCCUGGUAACACACCCAGCCAUGCCAACUGAGAGGACUGGUCCUGGUAACACACCCUACCAUGCCAACUGAGAGGACUUGUCCUGGUUAAGGUUACACACCCUACCAUGCCAACUGAGAGGACUAGUCCUGGUUAAGGUAACACACCCUACCAUGCCAACUAAGAGGACUAGUCCUGGUUAAGGUAACACACCCAGCCAUGCCAACUGAGAGGACUAGUCCCCAACUGAGAGGACUAGUCCUGGUUAAGGUAACACACCCUACCAUGCGAUGCCAACUGAGAGGACUGGGCUAUAUCUCUGUCUAUAUCUCUAUCUCUCUCUCUGUCUCUCUCUGUCUCUCUCUGUCUCUCUCUCUCUGUCUCUCUCUCUCUCUCUCUGUCUCUCUCUCUCUGUCUCUCUCUCUGUCUCUCUCUCUCUGUCUCUCUCUCUCUGUCU
Molecule: long non-coding RNA, 1606 nt
Organism: Oncorhynchus keta (chum salmon)
Lineage: Eukaryota; Metazoa; Chordata; Actinopteri; Salmoniformes; Salmonidae
Exons: 3
Source: RefSeq, a predicted model, not a curated record